This 497-nucleotide ribosomal RNA is filed under the name uncultured bacterium. RNAcentral's name for it is "partial 16S ribosomal RNA". The stretch from base 52 to 497 matches the Rfam family "Bacterial small subunit ribosomal RNA", at positions 38 to 507 of the family's 1533-position model. The record is from RNAcentral.
GGGGGGGGGGGGGGGGGGGGGGGGGGCGGGCAGGGAGGGCGCUGGGGGGGGGGGGGUGGGCGUCUUGGAUGAGUUGCGGACGGGUGAGUAACGCGUGGGUAACCUGCCUUGUAGCGGGGGAUAACUAUUGGAAACGAUAGCUAAUACCGCAUAACACUGGAUGACACAUUUCAUUUAUUUGAAAGGGGCAAUUGCUCCACUACAAGAUGGCCCUGCGUUGUAUUAGCUAGUAGGUGAGGUAAUGGCUCACCUAGGCGACGAUACAUAGCCGACCUGAGAGGGUGAUCGGCCACACUGGGACUGAGACACGGCCCAGACUCCUACGGGAGGCAGCAGUAGGGAAUCUUCGGCAAUGGGGGCAACCCUGACCGAGCAACGCCGCGUGAGUGAAGAAGGUUUUCGGAUCGUAAAGCUCUGUUGUAAGUCAAGAACGGGUGUGAGAGUGGAAAGUUCACACUGUGACGGUAGCUUACCAGAAAGGGACGGCUAACUACGUG